UGUCCGACUUGGGCAGGCUGCGUCCACUUUCGAGUGGUUGCGUGAAUUAGUUUACUGUUUUGAAUAGAUGAAUCCCAGGAUUGUGCGAAUAUCUAAGCAGCAUAGUAUGAAAGAGGAGUAAUUGAAAAAUAACUGUAUCGUCCUGAAAGAAGCUUCACUGAUGCUACGUCUUGUCUGAUUCGAUCGGGAUACGUUUACUUGGAAGUUGUUGCGUGAGUUAGCUUAAUAAAUCCGAGGUUUGCGCAAACAUUUAAGAAGCAUAGUGUGAAAUAGGAGUAACUGAAAUAUAACUUCAUUGUCUGGGAAGAAAUAUUACUUGUUACUUAAUAUAAUUUAAAGUUCACCUACUCUUAAAGCUUAUUGUCCUCCUCUCUAUACAUUUUACAGCCUCAAAUCUCCACCUACGCUGUAUGUAUCUCCAAACCUAUUAAAAACUGCUCUUCCUCUCUCGAUCAUAAAUAUUUCCAAAUUGAAUGCACGAUAAAUUGCAACAGUUCACAGUGUUAUCGGCAUCGUAUCGCACAAUCACGAUCCAACAACCGACGUUAACCGGCCUGUACCGAACAUCAACGAACAAUAACCAGCAAGAGGCGACGUAACGUUCUAUUGAGAAUGGUUGGCAAACAUUCGUCAUGGACCGUGACAGCCGGCGAUUAAAUCGGCGUGGCUUGAUUCCCGGCGAUAUCGCGAUUACGUUGAUCCAACGAACGCGAUGCAUUGGCUGUUAUAAAGUUGGUUAACGAGUGUUGCACCGUUACACGUAGUAUGACCAGGCUUCGGACAGACGCUCUCGUCGACUGCUAAUUAAACUUGUAACAUAAUCUACAAGUAGCUGUUCUCCACGGAGCGUGCGUUUCAUCACCAUCGCUGCAAUACCAUUCAUCCACUUGUUCCUCUAUCAGUCAAUCUCAACAGUAAUAAAUGGAUGUAUAUAUAUCAUACCCAAAAAAUCAUUGUUACUAAUAUGUUGAAAGGUAGUGAUUAGUUGACAAUUUGUAAUACUACUUACUAGUUAUCAAUUUUGUGAGAACAAGUGCAAGUAUUUAUGUAUCGUUUCGUCGUCAAGUACAGAAGCAACAAUUUGUAAUUGAUCUAAUUGAUCCCUGGCACUCUUCGUCACAUGAAGUGUUAUUGGAGUCACGCAUUGUUAGUGGUUUAUUAAAAGAUUUCUGUUCCCUCUUUGUUUGAGUAUCGAUGAUCCCUUGAUAUAUCUUUGCAUCAACAGAAAUUGGUUCAAUAUGCGUUAACCUUGGGAAAUGUGAUUCAUCUGAGACGAACAUUCGUAACAUUUACAACGCUCUUCGGAUUAUUAUUCUUAUGUACUUGUUUACUGAAUAAACCUCAUUUCUAUCUUA
Long non-coding RNA from Bombus terrestris (buff-tailed bumblebee), 1355 nucleotides. RefSeq lists it as uncharacterized. Lineage: Eukaryota; Metazoa; Arthropoda; Insecta; Hymenoptera; Apidae. The transcript is spliced from 2 exons. The record is from RefSeq and is a predicted model, not a curated record.